GGGGCCGGGUACCCUCCCACGCCGGUCUCGAAAACCGGUAUACGCGUAAGCGUAUCGGGGGUUCGAAUCCCCCCCCUCUCCG
Molecule: transfer RNA, 82 nt
Filed under: Actinomycetota bacterium
Lineage: Bacteria; Bacillati; Actinomycetota
Description: tRNA-OTHER
Source: RNAcentral